RNAcentral lists this ribosomal RNA (477 nucleotides) under uncultured bacterium. RNAcentral's name for it is "partial 16S ribosomal RNA". It matches the Rfam family "Bacterial small subunit ribosomal RNA", at positions 30 to 507 of the family's 1533-position model. The record is from RNAcentral.
AUUGAACGCUGGCGGCAUGCCUUACACAUGCAAGUCGAACGGUAACAGGUUAAGCUGUCGAGUGGCGAACGGGUGAGUAAUGUAUCGGAACGUGCCCAGUCGUGGGGGAUAACUGCUCGAAAGAGCAGCUAAUACCGCAUACGACCUGAGGGUGAAAGCGGUGGAUCGCAAGACCUCGCGCGAUUGGAGCGGCCGAUAUCAGAUUAGGUAGUUGGUGAGGUAAAGGCUCACCAAGCCGACGAUCUGUAGCUGGUCUGAGAGGACGACCAGCCACACUGGGACUGAGACACGGCCCAGACUCCUACGGGAGGCAGCAGUGGGGAAUUUUGGACAAAGGGCGCAAGCCUGAUCCAGCCAUGCCGCGUGCGGGAAGAAGGCCUUCGGGUUGUAAACCGCUUUUGUCAGGGAAGAAAAGGUUCUGGCUAAUACCUGGGACUCAUGACGGUACCUGAAGAAUAAGCACCGGCUAACUACGUG